RNAcentral lists this ribosomal RNA (253 nucleotides) under uncultured prokaryote. RNAcentral describes it as "partial 16S ribosomal RNA". It matches the Rfam family "Bacterial small subunit ribosomal RNA", at positions 525 to 777 of the family's 1533-position model. The record is from RNAcentral.
ACGAACCGAGCGAACGUUAUUCGGAAUCACUGGGCUUAAAGGGCGCGUAGGCGGGCGAUCAAGUCAGGGGUGAAAGCCCCCAGCUCAACUGGGGAAGUGCCUCUGAUACUGGUCAUCUCGAGGGAGGUAGGGGCGUGCGGAACUUCCGGUGGAGCGGUGAAAUGCGUAGAUAUCGGAAGGAACACCGGUGGCGAAAGCGGCGCGCUGGACCUCUUCUGACGCUGAGGCGCGAAAGCCAGGGGAGCGAACGGGA